RNAcentral lists this ribosomal RNA (492 nucleotides) under uncultured bacterium. RNAcentral's name for it is "partial 16S ribosomal RNA". It matches the Rfam family "Bacterial small subunit ribosomal RNA", at positions 28 to 507 of the family's 1533-position model. The record is from RNAcentral.
GGUGAACGCUGGCGGUAGGCCUAACACAUGCAAGUCGAACGGCAGCACAGUAAGAGCUUGCCCUUACGGGUGGCGAGUGGCGGACGGGUGAGGAAUACAUCGGAAUCUACUUUUUCGUGGGGGAUAACGUAGGGAAACUUACGCUACUACCGCAUACGACCUAAGUGUGAAAGCAGGGGAUCUUCGGACCUUGCGCGACUGAAUGAGCCGAUGUCGGAUUAGCUAGUUGGCGGGGUAAAGGCCCACCAAGGCGACGAUCCGUAGCUGGUCUGAGAGGAUGAUCAGCCACACUGGAACUGAGACACGGUCCAGACUCCUACGGGAGGCAGCAGUGGGGAAUAUUGGACAAUGGGCGCAAGCCUGAUCCAGCCAUACCGCGUGGGUGAAGAAGGCCUUCGGGUUGUAAAGCCCUUUUGUUGGGAAAGAAAAGCAGCAGGUUAAUACCCCGCUGUUCUGACGGUACCCAAAGAAUAAGCACCGGCUAACUUCGUG